AGAAGGACUUGUAUUUGGUGCGACUAUCCCAAAGACCAUCUGUUUAUCAGUAUCACUAAACUUAUAUUGUUAAUGUCCUUCCUCCAUAUAAUUAUAAUUCUCUUGACAAAUCUUUACUGGCACUGUAUACUUGCCAAAAAGUACCAAGCAUUUUGGAUAUUCUAGGUGAAGAUCCUUCAAACAAUUCUAUCCCUAAAAAACGACCA
This 206-nucleotide long non-coding RNA is filed under the name Elaeis guineensis (African oil palm). RNAcentral's name for it is "long non-coding RNA (EGUI_LNC020537)". The record is from RNAcentral. Lineage: Eukaryota; Viridiplantae; Streptophyta; Magnoliopsida; Arecales; Arecaceae.